AGCCUGGGGGCUGACCAGGACAGAAUGUCUCCAGGAGGCCCCUGUGCAGCAGCCACAGCCAGUGCUGUUACUAAGAAAAGCCCAAGGAGAAAGGGUAACACAACACGUCCGCCUCGGGCUGGCCUUGCGGCUGGGGGGAGGGGCGCAGAUGACUCAGGAGUUGCUCCAGGAGGCACAGGGACAAAGUCACGUCGAAUUGUCCAGCACAGCUGUCCCCUUGUCUGUUAGGGUGAAGAGGCUCUGAGCUCCUGUUGUCUCCAAAUUCUGCAGAGACUAGGUACAGCCUGGCAGGAGUCUCAGGGCAGUGGGCCUCCUGGGCUUGUCAAAGGUGCAGAAGAUCAGGGACACACUCGGGGACCUUUGCUGUUGCUCCUAGCCUGGCAGGAAGAGACUUCACCAUUAGCUCUCUGUGAUUCUCAUGCAGCCGCGAGACUUCCUGCCUCCCCCAGGCACCUAUCUGGCUGGGCUGGUACCGAUUAGAAGUAUGACUUGUCGGUGCCAUGAGUAAGAAGGAAGAAAAUCUGAAAAAUGGAGAGAGAUGCUCACAGGAGAGGAAAUGAAGACGCACUAAAGAGGUACAUUCCUGCUCCGGGAGAGGACUUCCCCUUACACACUGUAUUGCUGCUAACAUGGUCUCCUCUUUCGUCAUGGAGAAGGAUGACUCAGGGGACACAGCCACCAGGACACCAAGACCUGUGCUUGGAGAUGGAGUCUCAAAGGGGCUGACCUGCAGCUGGAGCCCACACGAGAGCUGGAGAAGUCACCGGCAGGAUGAAGCUGGCAUCCUUUAAAUGAAUAUGUUUUCCACCUGCUAAUAGCCCUCGGGGCUGGGGACAUAGCUGGCUGGCUGGUGCCCAGCAGAGAGCACCGACCGCCCAGCCAGGGCCCCCGGGUGUGGGCUGCUGUCCUGACCUGCCCUGGCUGGUGGGCAAGGGCCUUCUGGGACGCGGAGCACAGCUCCAACCACUAAAAGGGCCCAGCUUCUCCAUGGCAACCCCAAACAGCCUGUUCAUCCCAGAGGCUAUGCUGGCAGCAAAAGUGGGGCCAUGGAAGGGUGUCCUCGAGACUAAUAGUGGGAAGCAUGCAAAGAGUUCCUGCUGACCGCCGGCUGCUUUCUGGGAAUGCCUCCAAGGAUGGAGCCGGCCAAGAGAUGGCCAGGAUGGCCACGGGGAAGCAGAGGAGACUGAUUUACAGGCAAGGAAUCAUAAUUUAUGGGAACUCAUCAUUUACUGAUCUGGCAGCCUCCCCGAAAAGGGGUGAGGAUCUAGGUGGAGAGAAAAAGUGGGCGGGAUGGGAGGCACGGGGGAGGGGGAUCCACAAGAUCUGGUGACUCUAGGGUAGCCAGACUGAAUCUCCUGGCCGUGUGUGGGACAGUGUCCCCAGGCACGACUGAAGACCUCUGUCCCCUCAGUCAGGAUGUUUCUCCCCGUGCCACACGGACACACAGAGUCAUGGCCAUGGCCUGGCCAGUGGCUGCUGCCUUCCACCCAUCCUGCCUGCUCCUUUCCGCUCUGGGUUUCUGCUCUCACUCAGGCUGGCCAAAGUGACUGCCAGAUUCCACCCAGCCCUGGGUACAGACGCCUGCCCACCUUCCCAGGCCCUGGCACAGGGAGGGUGGGAGGGAGGGAAAGGGGCUGAGCUUUGGAGUCAGACAUAUUUGGAUCGAAUGUGUUGUUUGGACGUAAGUGGCCUCGGGCAAGGGAAGGGGCAGGGCCCUCAGCUUUCUCAGCUGCCCAUCAGAGGCAAACAAACACAUUUGGAUUUGGUCUGUGAGGGAACAGAGGGAUGCCUUAUGAGAGAAGGGGUUCUUCUCCCCUCGCUGCAUCGCCCCCUUCCCACACCCACUCCCCUCCUCCCUCCUAGCCUGUCUGCGGGUCCCUAUUUCUGGGCACCUGUGUCAGAAGACCAAAGCUGGAAAAAGCGAUCACCGAAGGGCACCCUGACAAGGUCCACCAGGAUGUUCUGAACACUCUGUCUCUGUUGUGGUAAACGAUGACUUUAAUUUACAAAGCAGAUGAAUACUAAAUCUUCAUGAAAUUAAAAACUAUAUUAUUUAUGUGAGCGGAAACGGAAAAUGUUCUGUAGCUAGCAGUGAUCCUGCUUUGUAGGAGGAACACUAAAAUAAUUAAAACCACUCGUGCUUCAGUAAUAAAUAAUGAUAAUAAAUAAAUGUCCUGACCUUAAGCGAAAAUAUAAAAUUAAAACCCAUUUGGUAUGUAAAUUCAUUCAGGACGUUAUCAAGUCUCCCAGCCUAAGACGGUGUGGGACAGAGGAAGCGUUCACUACAUGAAUUUUGAAAGGAAAAUCAAAGAACAACAGAGUUGUGUGUGUAUUGACUCAUUAUUCUACUUUAAUUCCAUCUAAUGCUGUGUGGAGCCUUGAGGCUGGGACAUUAAUUUCCUGCUUUUUCUGUUUCACCAAUUCCUCAUGGAGACCAGGAGAAAGAAUUUCAAUCCUGGAGGCUGAAAUCAGGGGAGGCCAGAAAAUUACAGGAGAGGUGGGGAACUCAAACCGGAAGGCGAUUUUUAACGUGUUUACUGAGAGAGCCGCUGAGGAGAAGCCAACAAAGAACAGGGCCUGUGCUGUUGAGCCUGGGGAGGGGAGGCCCGAGGGUCUGUGCCACAAAUCAAUAACGGAAUGCAACGUCCCAGCCUUGGGUUCAGGUGGGGAACUGCUCUAGGGCCUGGAGAAGCCAGGCAGGAAGUCUGUCCUUGGCCUCUGACUUCAGGAAAGCACCGAUCGGUUCCAGAUGGUGGACGCCGCAGCUCCCCCCAUACCACCCCCCACCCCUGGGAGCCCGGCGCCCAGUCUGAUCAUGAAAUCGCCGCAUGUUCCAUGAAGCCUGUGGCUCCCCGGCCUCCUCCAAUAGGGCAGCCCAGGAAACUACAGGCCAGGGGCUCAGGCAGGAAAGUCAGAACCUU
Long non-coding RNA from Lutra lutra (Eurasian river otter), 2921 nucleotides. RefSeq lists it as uncharacterized. The transcript is spliced from 4 exons. The record is from RefSeq and is a predicted model, not a curated record. Lineage: Eukaryota; Metazoa; Chordata; Mammalia; Carnivora; Mustelidae.